GACGUCCAUACCUCGCUGAAUAGACCAGUCGUCAUCCGAUCACGGAAGUUAAGCCGUGUUGCGCGCAGUCAGUACUUGGAUGGGUGACAC
This is a non-coding RNA of Eumeta japonica, 90 nucleotides long. The record is from the annotation of a GenBank genome assembly. Lineage: Eukaryota; Metazoa; Arthropoda; Insecta; Lepidoptera; Psychidae.